Molecule: ribosomal RNA, 500 nt
Filed under: uncultured bacterium
Lineage: Bacteria
Description: partial 16S ribosomal RNA
Rfam family: Bacterial small subunit ribosomal RNA
Source: RNAcentral
AUUGAACGCUGGCGGCAUGCCUUACACAUGCAAGUCGAACGGCAGCACGGGAGCAAUCCUGGUGGCGAGUGGCGAACGGGUGAGUAAAGUAUCGGAACGUGCCCAGUCGUGGGGGAUAACGUAGCGAAAGUUACGCUAAUAACGCAUACGAUCUAUGGAUGAAAGCGGGGGAUCGCAAGACCUUGCGCGAUUGGCGCGGCCGAUAUCAGAUUAGGUAGUUGGUGGGGUAAAGGCUCACCAAGCCGACGAUCUGUAGCUGGUCUGAGAGGACGACCAGCCACACUGGGACUGAGACACGGCCCAGACUCCUACGGGAGGCAGCAGUGGGGAAUUUUGGACAAUGGGCGCAAGCCUGAUCCAGCCAUGCCGCGUGCAGGAUGAAGGCCUUCGAGUUGUAAACUGCUUUUGUACGGAACGAAAAGGUUUGGCCUAAUAAGCUGAGCUCAUGACGGUACCGUAAGAAUAAGCACCGGCUAACUACGUGCCAGCAGCCGCAGUAA